GCUUCUGCAAAGAAGAAAAGCAGCAAAGCAGCAGGUUCUAGUUCAUCUGCAGAUGAACCCAGGUGGCAGAAAACAAAAUGCAAGAGUGACCUGAACAUAAGUUAAUUCAACAAAGCAUUUGGGAGCAGUGUGUUUGCAAAAUUACUGGCUUCUAUUAAGGUUAUGGGUUAACUAAACAUUGCUGGAAACGUA
This is a long non-coding RNA of Harpia harpyja (harpy eagle), 192 nucleotides long. RefSeq lists it as uncharacterized. NCBI's taxonomy places the organism in Eukaryota, Metazoa, Chordata, Aves, Accipitriformes, Accipitridae. The transcript is spliced from 2 exons. The record is from RefSeq and is a predicted model, not a curated record.